CACACACACACACACACACGAACAGAAGCCCUAAUCGGGCAAGAAGAAGAACAGUGCACGCGAGGAGCUCGAUCGGGACGAUCACGAAGGAACUCGACGAUCAGAACGGACGAAGAUCGCAAGGCGUUUCCGAUCUCUGUUCUCACGACUAUGAAACAUGAUUGCCCACCUACACAGGCUAAGUUAUUCCUCGCCACGCAGAGAAGAAAGUCGUGGCGAGAAGAAAGGAUAAUUUGGGAUUUGUUGAUAAAAUGUUCGGGAAAACUAUGCUAAGGGAUUAGACUGCGAGCCUAAGGUUUUUAAGAAAACUCACACUCGAAAAGAUGAUCAAAGACGAGAAGUGCAGGUUAAUCAUAGAUCAAAGGGUGUCUUGGAGGUGUUCGAUAGUACAAGUAUAGAGACAUCUUCAGCAUUUGUCGGUAGCAAUUCGUUCUCUUCAAUUGCAGUUGACAAGCACAUCUUUUGUCAGGCUAUCUCUCUUAAGAAUAAAAAGUGUGUUUAUGACUUCAACUCUCAAGUUAAUCCGUCUUACCCGAUUGCAUUCGAUAAUACCUUUAAUAGUUCAAAUGUGUUCAUGUCCCAUGAUUUAAAAGAAAUGAGACAGAUGAAGGAGAAGUUGUAUUCCAUGCAGAAUGAGAUUGAGGAAUUGAGACAGAUAAUGACCCAAAUAACCACUGUGCAUGUGCAACUAUGUCAAUGACAGCAAGAGAUAAUUGAGUGGAAGGAUCAUAUGGAUAGCAUGAUAUCUGUACUAUUAAAGCAAUCUACUACAUUUGUUGGCUCAUCGAUAGACUCAUCAGGUGGAUCUUCCAUUAGUGUCGAUAGAUUUUAGGUUGUAGAGCUUUCUAGAUAAAUCUAUUCACGAACGAUGUUACUUAUUACUACUAUAUAUUUAUCCAUGGAUAUUUUAUUUAUUGUGAUGAAUUUAUAUUUAUGCAAAGAUUUUAAGUUAA
Molecule: long non-coding RNA, 953 nt
Organism: Diospyros lotus (date-plum)
Lineage: Eukaryota; Viridiplantae; Streptophyta; Magnoliopsida; Ericales; Ebenaceae
Exons: 4
Source: RefSeq, a predicted model, not a curated record